This 253-nucleotide ribosomal RNA is filed under the name uncultured bacterium. RNAcentral's name for it is "partial 16S ribosomal RNA". It matches the Rfam family "Bacterial small subunit ribosomal RNA", at positions 524 to 776 of the family's 1533-position model. The record is from RNAcentral.
UACGUAGGGGGCAAGCGUUGUCCGGAUUUAUUGGGCGUAAAGAGCGUGUAGGCGGCCAGAUAGGUCCGUUGUGAAAGUCAAAGGCUCAACCUUUGAAUGUCAGCGGAUACUGCCAGGCUAGAGUCCGGAAGAGGCGAGUGGAAUUCCUGGUGUAGCGGUGGAAUGCGCAGAUAUCAGGAGGAACACCAACGGCGAAGGCAGCUCGCUGGGACGGUACUGACGCUGAGGCGCGAAAGCCAGGGGAGCGAACGGG